Molecule: small nucleolar RNA, 138 nt
Organism: Ornithorhynchus anatinus (platypus)
Lineage: Eukaryota; Metazoa; Chordata; Mammalia; Monotremata; Ornithorhynchidae
Source: RefSeq, a predicted model, not a curated record
AACUUCCCAGUAUAGGAUUUUGGAGAGUUCCCAGUACUCUACCAGUCUUGACUGUGGGAAGGAAAGGCAAGUAGAGGCAUACCAUUCCAUUCCUAGCUUGGUCAGUGGCUAGUGAGUGGAAGACAAUCUGCUAUAAGU